GAGGAUAUAGCUCAGUGGUAGAGCACAUGCUUAGCAUGCACAAGGUCCUGGGUUCAAUUCCCAGUACCUCCA
RNAcentral lists this transfer RNA (72 nucleotides) under Camelus bactrianus (Bactrian camel). It matches the Rfam family "tRNA". Rfam says of the family: Transfer RNA (tRNA) molecules are approximately 80 nucleotides in length. Their secondary structure includes four short double-helical elements and three loops (D, anti-codon, and T loops). The record is from Rfam by way of RNAcentral. Lineage: Eukaryota; Metazoa; Chordata; Mammalia; Artiodactyla; Camelidae. RNAcentral also lists the same sequence under 3 other names.